This is a long non-coding RNA of Oncorhynchus tshawytscha (Chinook salmon), 1819 nucleotides long. NCBI's taxonomy places the organism in Eukaryota, Metazoa, Chordata, Actinopteri, Salmoniformes, Salmonidae. The record is from Ensembl.
GCACAACGGAAACGGUGCUGUUCUGAUUGACCAAUUGAAAAACGGGGAAUGAUUGUGUUGUGGGUUGGGGAACGCUCCACUGACCUUUCGUCACUCAUUGCUUCAAGCCACACCCUACUACACCCACUAAGCGGAGAAAGCGUACCUCAACGUCUGUCCAAGAAUGUUGAAAUGUUGAAUGUUUUGAAGAAACGUGUUGUUCCGUACAAACCGUCACACUACCUAGCUACUGUUUAAUCGAACUGAAUGCACCCCAGCUCCCUGUGUUCUCUGUCAGUUCUGACGCUAGUGGCUGUUGUGUUCAUGGUACCAAUGAAAGACAGAAGUGAGGAUGUGUUAAGCUUUUUGAAUGGUGCCCUUGAUGUUGCUCCCGCUACUCAAAGCACCUCAGGAAAAAUCAAAGGUCCUGAAAACACCUUUGGUAAACCAGCUCCAACCCCUGCAAGACCAAGUCCUUUAAGACCAACAGAGAACUCUGCAGAAAUCUCAAAUGUUACGCAGACUGAAAACUCUGCUUGUUUAACAGAUGUUGUAGACUCAGAUGCCAGAUCCAAAGAGAAAUGCAACUCCGAUGAUCUUACAGAUGCAGAACGAUCUGAAAGUAACUCAGCAGAAAGCAGAGAGGAUUAUGAUGACUCUCUGGGAUCUAAUACAAAGAUUACACAAACUGUGACAGACGACAGUAGCAGCGACGAGACUGACAGUUCUCCUCCAAGUGAUGUGAGAAAAUACAAACAACCUCCAGGAAGGAGAACCAUAAACCCAGACCAUGUCGACAGCAUGCAGACAACCACCAGGCAGGAUCCAACCAAUGGGAGCGAGGAGCUGGAUAGAGAGACUCAGAGGGACCCCACAGUGGGGAGAGAGAGAACCAGCAGAGUGCUCAUUGAUCUCAACAGUGAAGAGGAUGUGAUGGUGGGCUGUCAGGGUACUGUCUGUAUGCCCGGAGAGCAGGGGACUACAGUCAAUGGAGGUGAAAAUGAUGAGAAUACAAGUCUAAACAGUAGAGAUAGAGAUAUCCAAAGCCAAGAGGUCACAGGCACAGCCACGGAGCAGGCCCUACGUAGGGGUAGUUGUAGGGGUGUAGUGAAUGGAGUGUUGGACACAGCCAGAGAACAGCAGGACUUGGACAGUAUGGAGCAUGUCAAUGGUAGACCCAAUGGUACUGAUGAAGCCAAGAGUAGAGGUUCAUCUGGCUUCUAUUCUACCAUGAUUCCAAACUACGGCUUUACAAAAAUGAAGAUCCACAGCAGAAUUCUUUAACUACUGAACCUAUAUUAUUGAAAAAUAUCUGAAUGAUUGCUUUCUAUCCUAACAGAAACCAGAGAUGACAUCAGCACUGAGACGAACCCAGUCGUGAUUGGUUAGCCUCCAGGAGUCCCAGCCAGGAGCCCCAGCCAGGAGCUCCAGCCAGGAGCCUGUCAGUGCCAGAGGCUUCCUCCAGGUAGAGUUGGCUCAGCUCUACCCUGCAGGGCCUGUAAAUCUCCCUGCCUCUCACUCGUGUGUCGUCUCCCUCAAGCUCCACCGACUCUACCAGACCGCAGAGUCCCUCUCACACUUAUAUUCAUGACAGAGACGUCAGUACAUCUGUGGAUAUUUACCACCAAUUUUUCACUUGAUCUUGAAAUGGUAUAAAUGGUAUUCUGACAGCAGCUGUGCCCCCUGGUCUUACUGCCGGUAGUCAAUUUGAAUUGUAGGUGAAUGGAAAUACGAUGUUUGGCUCCAAUCUGAUCUGAUCAAUCUGAUGAAAUAAAGGUUUCUCAUAAAGCAUUGUUUGUUGUACUAAUUAGAGGUAAUUCAAUAAAAGGCUGUGUAUACA